Schistosoma rodhaini is the source of this 46-nucleotide non-coding RNA. NCBI's taxonomy places the organism in Eukaryota, Metazoa, Platyhelminthes, Trematoda, Strigeidida, Schistosomatidae. The record is from Rfam.
GCACUGCUGAGGAGUCCCAUAAUAGGACGAAACGGCGAUCCAGUGC